UAGGGAAUCUUCCGCAAUGGACGCAAGUCUGACGGAGCAACGCCGCGUGAGUGAAGAAGGAUUUCGGUUCGUAAAACUCUGUUGUUAGAGAAGAACAGCGCAUAGAGUAACUGUUAUGCGUGUGACGGUAUCUAACCAGAAAGCCACGGCUAACUACGUGCCAGCAGCCGCGGUAAUACGUAGGUGGCAAGCGUUGUCCGGAUUUAUUGGGCGUAAAGCGAGCGCAGGCGGUCAAUUAAGUCUGAUGUGAAAGCCCCCGGCUCAACCGGGGAGGGUCAUUGGAAACUGGUUGACUUGAGUGCAGAAGAGGAGAGUGGAAUUCCAUGUGUAGCGGUGAAAUGCGUAGAUAUAUGGAGGAACACCAGUGGCGAAGGCGACUCUCUGGUCUGUAACUGACGCUGAGGUUAGAAAGCGUGGGUAGCAAACAGG
This 429-nucleotide ribosomal RNA is filed under the name Bacteroidota bacterium. Its description in RNAcentral is "Bacteroidetes bacterium partial 16S ribosomal RNA". It matches the Rfam family "Bacterial small subunit ribosomal RNA", at positions 355 to 776 of the family's 1533-position model. The record is from RNAcentral. Lineage: Bacteria; Pseudomonadati; Bacteroidota.